GCGCAGGCGGUUUCUUAAGUCUGAUGUGAAAGCCCCCGGCUCAACCGGGGAGGGUCAUUGGAAACUGGGAGACUUGAGUGCAGAAGAGGAGAGUGGAAUUCCAUGUGUAGCGGUGAAAUGCGUAGAUAUAUGGAGGAACACCAGUGGCGAAGGCGGCUCUCUGGUCUGUAACUGACGCUGAGGCUCGAAAGCGUGGGGAGCGAACAGGAUUAGAUACCCUGGUAGUCCACGCCGUAAACGAUGAGUGCUAAGUGUUGGAGGGUUUCCGCCCUUCAGUGCUGCAGCAAACGCAUUAAGCACUCCGCCUGGGGAGUACGACCGCAAGGUUGAAACUCAAAGGAAUUGACGGGGGCCCGCACAAGCGGUGGAGCAUGUGGUUUAAUUCGAAGCAACGCGAAGAACCUUACCAGGUCUUGACAUCCUUUGACCACUCUAGAGAUAGAGCUUCCCCUUCGGGGGCAAAGUGACAGGUGGUGCAUGGUUGUCGUCAGCUCGUGUCGUGAGAUGUUGGGUUAAGUCCCGCAACGAGCGCAACCCUUAUUGUUAGUUGCCAUCAUUUAGUUGGGCACUCUAGCGAGACUGCCGGUGACAAACCGGAGGAAGGUGGGGAUGACGUCAAAUCAUCAUGCCCCUUAUGACCUGGGCUACACACGUGCUACAAUGGGAAGUACAACGAGUUGCGAAGUCGCGAGGCUAAGCUAAUCUCUUAAAGCUUCUCUCAGUUCGGAUUGUAGGCUGCAACUCGCCUACAUGAAGCCGGAAUCGCUAGUAAUCGCGGAUCAGCACGCCGCGGUGAAUACGUUCCCGGGCCUUGUACACACCGCCCGUCACACCACGAGAGUUUGUAACACCCGAAGUCGGUGAGGUAACCUUUUUGGAGCCAGCCGCCUAAGGUGGGAUAGAUGAUUGGGGUGAAGUCGUAACAAGGUAGCCGUAU
Molecule: ribosomal RNA, 937 nt
Filed under: Listeria monocytogenes
Lineage: Bacteria; Bacillati; Bacillota; Bacilli; Caryophanales; Listeriaceae
Description: bacterial SSU rRNA
Rfam family: Bacterial small subunit ribosomal RNA
Source: RNAcentral